RNAcentral lists this ribosomal RNA (253 nucleotides) under uncultured bacterium. RNAcentral's name for it is "partial 16S ribosomal RNA". It matches the Rfam family "Bacterial small subunit ribosomal RNA", at positions 524 to 776 of the family's 1533-position model. The record is from RNAcentral.
UACGGGGGGGGUAAGCGUUGUUCGGAAUUCCUGGGCGUAAAGGGCUCGUAGGCGGCCAACUAAGUCGGACGUGAAAUCCCUCAGCUUAACUGGGGAACUGCGUCCGAUACUGGAUGGCUUGGAUUUGGGAGAGGGAUGCGGAAUUCCAGGUGUAGCGGUGAAAUGCGUAGAUAUCUGGAGGAACACCGGUGGCGAAGGCGGCAUCCUGGACCAAUAUUGACGCUGAGGAGCGAAAGCCAGGGGAGCAAACGGG